ACGAAAUUCGUUCCUACCCCGUCCUCCACCUCCCUCUGUACCUACUUACUGCCCAGCCCCCUCGCCCACUUACAAUAUCCUUAUAUGGUCCUCACUCCUCACCUGCGACGCCUGUCCUUGCCCGCUUCUGAUUGGUGCUAUGAUAUGACGUACAUUUGUAUGUCUGACGUGUAUAUGUGACGUAUGUGUGUGUGUGUCGUGAACUCGGCCGGUGCCGCGCGGUGUGGCACUUCGGUCUUUGAGUCACAGCCGUGCACUUCUGUCUUUAUUGCUCGGCGGGCCGGUCUGUCUUCGGCCCUUGGCAAAGUCAAUUUGUUUGUUAUCUUUGGUUUCUGUGGCCGUGAAUUGAAUACAGGCCCAACUUUGUAUUUACCUUCUGUUUAUUAUUGGAAUCGCGUGGUUGAACGGCAAGAACAACUACGGUCCUACAAAUCUAGACUAUCACAAACAAGAAUUUGCUUAUUAACACUUGUAUUCUGUUACAAAUGGUGCCGUGACCCGGAUCAAAUAAAAAACUCAAGAAUUGAAAUUGGUUCCGCAAGAAAUUGCUCUACAAGUCUACGAACAAGAUGUGGGCAAGACCGUUCUUCCUGACAUUCCUGUUCUAUCUGACAUCUCCGACAACGGCCAACGUUCUCUUCCUGCCCCGAGGCCAUCUCUACGCUUCAUACGACCACUGGACUCUUCACAUCCCCAUCGAAACCAGGACAUCAUGGACGUUUGUAUUGAAGCUGGAGCAUCAUGUGAAGCUCUUUAAAAGUAAAGUCAGUAGUAUAUUUGCAGAGCACCGCCAACAAUUGCGAAGUGACCAGGCAAUUCAGUUUUUUGCUAAGUUUAACCAGAGCGUAAAAGUUAUUGACAUUGUAAUAGAUACUUGGUCAAAUGCGGUACUUGUUGAUCUUUCGGAAACUAAUGUUUCACUCCCCGAAGCAGUAAACUUCAUUCCCCCACUUCAGGACAAAAGUGUCCAUUUGUCUAACUUGAAGAAACAUAUUCAACAGAUUCGAGUACGCAAUGCUCAGCAUAAUAAAACUGUCGUUAUCCCCGCCAUCUCGGUCACAACGUGUAUUGUGGUUGCGUUAGUGCUAUUAACUGUUCUAUACGUCCGAUGUCAUGUGUUUAAACCCAUUAUGAUCCGACCCCAGAAAGUAUCCGCUCAAAAUCCUGCCCCUGACAGUGUUAUUGUUGAAGAAACGUCAAGUGUAGCUCCAAAUAUCAAGCCCCGGGAAAAACUCACGGACCCAAGUCCCUCGUGCUUACAAUGGUUAAAACCGUCUCCGACCCUCGCUUCUCAGAAAUCCGCAGAUGCCUGAUGCAAAUAUUUUCCAGAGGAGUUCUUUCUCCGCAGCAGAGGUACCAGUAGCGGCGCUCCCACACUCGGUCGAGCCGCCGCCGGUGCUAGUCAGCGCCACUGAGAUCGGGCCGCCCCGCAUCGGACACCCAACGUCCGGGCGCCCCGAUAAAACUACGCUGACGCGUGGUCUGGUCAGCCCGACACCGGACGGACGACCCACAACAAGACGCGAGACGUGAGAACGUCAAUGUGUCAACAUCUGACACAUCAUCUGGCGACAGCGUGUCGACACCUGACACACGAUCUGGUGUCAAUGGACAAUAGACUGACAAACACGUGUCAGACAGCAGCGUCAAAGGUGACCUAAACCCUCUGAACUCUCUGAACUCCCUGAACUGAUGUGCCCGCAGCGGAAUCUUACCAGUGAUUGCGAAGCGAGAACCGAAUCGAUGAGCACGAGUGGGACAGUAGACUAUGUUUCGUAAGCGGACAAUGAAGAAGACUCUAUAGACUUAUAGCUACGAGGACUACAACGAAAAAGAACGGGAAAUUGUGUGUUGAGGUGCUGUGUAUAUUGUUGUGUUAGGUGUUGUUUGUGUUGUGUCGUGUGUUGUGUACGUUAUAUCAUGCAUCAUAUUAGGAGUAUCCCAAGCCGAAAAUUUUGGUCAAAAUUUCAGCUUUAAGGACCUCGCGUUGUGUUGUAACGAAAUUCGUUCCUACCCCGUCCUCCACCUCCCUCUGUACCUACUUACUGCCCAGCCCCCUCGCCCACUUACAAUAUCCUUAUAUGGUCCUCACUCCUCACCUGCGACGCCUGUCCUUGCCCGCUUCUGAUUGGUGCUAUGAUAUGACGUACAUUUGUAUGUCUGACGUGUAUAUGUGACGUAUGUGUGUGUGUGUCGUGAACUCGGCCGGUGCCGCGCGGUGUGGCACUUCGGUCUUUGAGUCACAGCCGUGCACUUCUGUCUUUAUUGCUCGGCGGGCCGGUCUGUCUUCGGCCCUUGGCAAAGUCAAUUUGUUUGUUAUCUUUGGUUUCUGUGGCCGUGAAUUGAAUACAGGCCCAACUUUGUAUUUA
This 2369-nucleotide long non-coding RNA is filed under the name Amphibalanus amphitrite. RNAcentral's name for it is "uncharacterized LOC122381968". The record is from RNAcentral. Lineage: Eukaryota; Metazoa; Arthropoda; Thecostraca; Balanomorpha; Balanidae.